GCAGCGGCGGGCACGGGCGGCGAGCAGGUGCGGUGCGGCCUUGGGCGGCGCGGGCGUGGGUGGCGACGGAGGUGAGAGAUGACAGGUGGGCCCCACCUGUCAGAGAGAGAGAGACUGAAAGCAUAUUCCCCCGAGAAUACGUUUUCCUGCGGAGAAAGCGUAUUUUCAGAGAAAAAGAAAAAGAAUAAAAGAAAAAGAUUAUAAAAUAUUUUUCAGGAUCUAUAAUUCACCCGAAAUUUCAUUUAAAUCAUUUAAAAUAUCAAAUGGCUUCAGAAAAAUUCUCAAAAAUUCUGUAAAAUAAUAUAUUUCAUUUAGAAUCCAGGAAAAUUAUCCCCACUAAAAAAUAAAUUUGUAAAAAUAGUUUUAAUGUUCCUAAGCUUUAAAUAAACCCAAAUAACAUCCUAAAAUGCAUUUUUAAACUCUAGAAAAUUCUCAAAUAUAUUUCUAUCAACCUAACACAUUCCAAAACACCAUUUCAAACACUUUCAAUAAUGCAUCAUGACGAACACCAAUAAUACAUCCGAAUUUGAAAAAAUUUGGGAUGUUACAUAGCUGUUUGUUCUCGCACUUGGAACGCUCAUCGGAGGGAUGCGGCAGGAACGCUGUGGUGGGGCCGCCGUCGGCGCCAGGCACUGAUGGCGGCUCCACCACGGCGUCUCUGCGGCAGCCCUC
Molecule: long non-coding RNA, 672 nt
Filed under: Brachypodium distachyon (stiff brome)
Lineage: Eukaryota; Viridiplantae; Streptophyta; Magnoliopsida; Poales; Poaceae
Description: long non-coding RNA (BDIS_LNC003358)
Source: RNAcentral